GGUAGGGUAAAGGCCUACCAAGGCGACGAUCCGUAGCUGGUCUGAGAGGAUGAUCAGCCACACUGGGACUGAGACACGGCCCAGACUCCUACGGGAGGCAGCAGUGGGGAAUAUUGGACAAUGGGCGGAAGCCUGAUCCAGCAAUACCGCGUGUGUGAAGAAGGCCUGAGGGUUGUAAAGCACUUUCACUGGGGAGGAAAAAGGUAAUCUUAAUACGGUUGCCCUUGACAUUACCUAGAGAAGAAGCACCGGCUAACUCCGUGCCAGCAGCCGCGGUAAUACGGAGGGUGCGAGCGUUAAUCGGAAUUACUGGGCGUAAAGCGUGCGUAGGCGGUAAGUUAAGUCAGAUGUGAAAGCCCUGGGCUCAACCUGGGAACGGCAUUUGAAACUGGCUUGCUAGAGUUAGGUAGAGGGGAGUGGAAUUUCAGGUGUAGCGGUGAAAUGCGUAGAUAUCUGAAGGAACACCAGUGGCGAAGGCGGCUCCCUGGACCCAAACUGACGCUGAGGUACGAAAGCGUGGGUAGCAAACAGGAUUAGAUACCCUGGUAGUCCACGCCGUAAACGAUGCCGACUAGCCGUUGGGCCCUUAUAGGGUUUAGUGGCGUAGCUAACGCGAUAAGUCGGCCGCCUGGGGAGUACGGCCGCAAGGUUAAAACUCAAAUGAAUUGACGGGGGCCCGCACAAGCGGUGGAGCAUGUGGUUUAAUUCGAUGCAACGCGAAGAACCUUACCUACCCUUGACAUCCUAAGAAUUUAGCAGAGAUGCUUAGUGCCUUCGGGAACUUAGAGACAGGUGCUGCGUGGCUGUCGUCAGCUCGUGUUGUGAAAUGUUGGGUUAAGUCCCGUAACGAGCGCAACCCUCAUCCUUAGUUGCCAGCGGGUCAAGCCGGGAACUCUAGGGAGACUGCCGGUGAUAAACCGGAGGAAGGUGGGGACGACGUCAAGUCAUCAUGGCCCUUAUGGGUAGGGCUACACACGUGCUACAAUGGCCGGUACAGAGGGCUGCGAACUAGUAAUAGCAAGCUAAUCCCACAAAGCCGGUCGUAGUCCGGAUUGGGGUCUGCAACUCGACCCCAUGAAGUCGGAAUCGCUAGUAAUCGCAAAUCAGAAUGUUGCGGUGAAUACGUUCCCGGGCCUUGUACACACCGCCCGUCACACCAUGGGAGUGGGUUGCAAAAGAAGUAGGUAGUCUAACCGCAAGGAGGGCGCUUACCA
Molecule: ribosomal RNA, 1214 nt
Filed under: metagenome
Description: bacterial SSU rRNA
Rfam family: Bacterial small subunit ribosomal RNA
Source: RNAcentral